RNAcentral lists this long non-coding RNA (10283 nucleotides) under Gallus gallus (chicken). The record is from RNAcentral. Lineage: Eukaryota; Metazoa; Chordata; Aves; Galliformes; Phasianidae.
CUUUGGAAUGGAGGCUUCCUGAAAGCUGUGUUCAGAAUGCCCAAACUCAGGUGCCAGGUGGCAAGUAACUGCAGUUAUGUUUGGGGCUACUUAGUUUUGUGGGCCUUGCUUAGGUCAGAAUUAGUCUGGUGGCACCACAAAAUAUUCAUUGAGGCCCAAAAUACAGCCUGGGAAGCUGAAGGGAAGGCCCGCUGCCCUGAAUGUGCUGUGGGGAAGCUAUUCGCAGCGGGCUGUGUGAGAGAGGGUGUUUGUCCCAUGAAGAUGAUGUCUGUGCUGAAUAGGUUAGCAGCGACUUGGGUUCCCUUCUUGGAGAGAUUAAUAGGAAUGGGCAGUGUUGGAAUGCCCUGGUGGGGAGGGGAGGUCAGUGAGCAAUGCAUGGAAAAAGGGUGUGCAAAAUCCACCUGCACACGGAGGGUUUGAACUAAUUGCACAGUGGAAGGAAAGGACUGAGGCAUCGCCAGUGGCAUCUGCCCUUGGUAUUAAAAAGCGGAAAGGAGGUCCUAAGAGAAGGAGGCUGCCCAGAUAACAAGUUGAAUAAUAGGAAAAUCAUCUUUAUACCUUUAUAUAAACAGAGGUUAAGAAAUAAAUUAUAGACUCGGUCACAAAUGUUAUCUCUGGCUUCCUUGGGUAUGUGAAUGAGCAAAGUCUCAGCCUGCAUUUUUCCACUGCUUCUCUGGUUUUCAGAGAUUUCCACUGCUCCAAAUGCUUCUAAAGCCCAUGCCUUCCGGUCACCUGUUCCUCCUCUCCUUCCACCUCCUCCUUCCUCCACUGCCUGUCAAGGACAAACAUCAUUUCCUGUCAAGGACAAAUGCAGACUGGUGUUUGUUGUACUGUGAAGGGCCUGAGGAAAUGAGUAACACGCAAUCAGAUUGAGAGGGCUUCCUACCUUUGUCGUCUCUUUCUUAAUGGAGCAUGGGCGGUCAUGGAGCAAGUCGGAGAUUUUAUUAUGAUGCAGAAAUAGUAUUUCUUGCUCACCAAACACAGCCCAGUUUGCCCUAGCCUUUCCCUCAAGUUCUCGUUUGUUCCCUAACCAAGGCGACCACUCCUAAAAUAACAUUCUUUUGAAAGAAGAAUUUUUCUUCUUUCAGCUUUCUAGGAGAACUUUUAAGGCGCGUUCUAUGGAAAAAAAGUCAAUGUAUCACUUAUGGUAGUGAUAGGACAAGGAGGGUAGUGAUAGGACAAAGGGUAAUGGUUUUAAACGGAGACAGGGGAGGUUUAGGUUAGAUAUUAGGAGGAAGUUUUUCACACACUGGAACAGGUUGUCCAAGGAGGUUGUGGAUGCCUCAUCCCUGGAGGCAUUCAAGGCCAGGCUGGAUGUAGCUCUGGGCAGCCUGGUCUGCUGGUUGGUGACACUGCACAUAGCAGGGGGGUUGAAACUACAUGAUCAUUGUGGUCCUUUUCAACCCAGGCCAUUCUGUGAUGAUUGCAUUAAAUGUUGUAGGUAGAUGCCACUGACCUAAGCAUCCCUUCUCCUCUGGACUACUUCAGCGCAUGAAGCUUUCAAGACAGGGCUGCAAAUGCCUUUUGUGUUUCUUUGGACAAAAAUGCUAUUUUCAUGCUGCUGAAGAUUUUUUUUAAACUCCCCCACAGUGAGAGACUGAGCCGAGUUUAGCAGGCCAAUAUCAGACUGAGGUGCAUCAUUCAAUCUCAGGCCUCAGGUAUAUGGUUGAGGCGCGCUUUCCUGUGCCCCAACAGUCUCAUGCAUGUGACAAUGCCAGCUGUCUGUUAGCAUCUUCAUUCUCUGCCUGUGCCUGUUGGCAGGGCCCAAGCCUGUGGUUUCAAAGAAGUUAAGCAAUUACUGUCAGGUGACACACUGUUCCUGAUGCUGUGAUGAUUACAGGGCAUUGCUUUGUGUGCAUCACAUCCUGAAUGUGGCCCUCUCAUCUGCCACACAUGCACCUCUCUUGUUGGAAAUAAAUAUGAAUUUACAACAAAUUCAGGGGAAAAAGUAGAUGAAAUGGUAGAAGAAAAAUGUUUGGUUUUUUUUUCUUUGAAGCUAUAAAUGUUAAAAUCUCUAUUUGGCGCCUCAAAAGCUAUGUUGUUCUUGCUUGCUAUCCCAAAGACCUUUGCAAGUUCUGGACAGUCUCAGAAGACACUAAUGAUGUUUAUUUUUCCUUAUCCUAAUUCUUCCUCUCUGGGAAAGUUCAUCUGGUAGUAACUACUCCAAGGAGAAUUUGUUUGUCUCUGAAGUCCGGACGUAGGGCCCAGUGAUCCCAUGACCCCGUUCCCUGCUCUGAUAUCCUUCCUACUGUACUCUAACAGCUCUGGUUGUUGCUGUAGGUUUCAUAACCCUCUAGUAAACCUGAAGGAAGUUCAGAGUUGUACCAGAGGUGUGUGCUGGGUUAGGUAAUCCAAUGAGAGCUCUUGAGUCUUUCAGUGAGCUCUGCCUGCCAUUAUCCACAGAGGUGCUGCUGGAGGUGGCCAUGUCAUACUUGGCUGCCUUGGCUUUCUGGUGGGCAGCAGGCCUCAGCCAGCAGAGUCCCAUCUUGCAUGGGGUCAUGACAGCUUCUCUGCAUGUGCAAUUUGCUCUAAGGUAUCAAAUGGCUCCUGUAAUGAAAGAUUUGCUGCAGUAAUGGUAGUCAAGCAACAGUGGGGUAACCAGUAGGAAAUCAAGUCCUAAUUAAAAAAAAGGAGCUUUGUCAAAACGCUGUGAUAAUACACAAUUUUCCAACCAAGUUUUUCUGCAUUUAAGUUAGAGACUAACCCAUUAGAGAGCAUGUCUAUGAUUUUGGAGUGACAAAAUAGUGAAAGAAAGAGCCAAAAUUUAAAGAUGCUCUAAUCUCACGCAGCUGUUAAUCAACAGCACAUAAACUAGUAAUGCUGCCCUCGUUCUGGAGGAAUAACAGCUAGCAAGAUGUCUAUUUAUGGGAAAAAAAAAUGAGAAUGUUAGGAAGAUUGAUUUUAGACAUCUUGUUAAAACUUCCAGGCUUAAAUUUAUAAGCCUUCCUCAUUUGUAUUUGGGCGAAUUGCAGUCCUCUGAGGCCCUGUCAUAGAGCAUGUUUAUUUUUCUGUUCUUCAGAAGAAAAGCGUUAAGUAUAUUUUCUGCUCAUGGAAAGUUGUACUUCAUGCGUUUUGCAGUGGCAGUCCUCUGGGUAAGGCAUUUUAUGAGAAUCAGAGUAGUAACUGCAGGGUGGGAUCUUUCAUGUUGCAGUCCUUCUCAGCUCUCCUGCUGAUCUGAAACGCCCACUACAAACCAAAGGCUUGGCCCCCCUUUCCUGUGCUUGCACUGAUCUGCCUGGUGUACCUGGAGUAAAUAUUCUUCUCUUCAUCUCCUUUCUUCCUUGUUUUUCACCUUUUUCACCGUUAUUUCUGUAAUUUGUAAAAAAAGGGCUUGCAUUAAGUCAUCUUUUGACUUUGUGGAUGUUGCUCUGAUGGCUAUGGCAGUAGUUCUGUCUAUGGCUAAGGAAGGCGAGAAGUCAUAGCUCAAGCUUUGGUAUGGCUUUCCUUUGCUCUCCACGCUGAUACUUGUGUGUUUCUCAUGGUUCUCUUUCAGUGCCUUUAAAAGAGCUGCUCUAACAGUAAAUCAGGCCUGGGAAUGUAGCUUCCCUGCCCACACAUAUUAUAAAGGAAUUAUCCUUUUUCAUGAUGGAAAGGGGUUAAUAGGAGUUGCAAUGGCCUCUGCUCCACUUGCUUCCGCUACCCGGGAGUGUUCUUUGCUUAGACGGACACAAUACCAUAAAAAUACUCUUUUAUCAUUAAUUUUCUUCCUUUUGGUUUGUCCACCAGGAGUUCUUCUCAGGAAGAGUGUAUCCUGAGGUACGCUGGGGACAAACUGUAACUGAAAUGUUUUUCUGUGUGACAAAAGAGAAAGCUGGGAUCCAGGCUCCCACCACCACUAACCUCUGUACUCACUUUUAUCUGCUAUGAAAACUGUUAUGUCAGACACAUCCUCCUUUUCCCUGUUUGUCUGAAAGUCUGUGGUCGUGGUGCAGAUGCUACAGGGAUCAGAGGAAUGGGAGCCUGAGUAGACUGAAGCUUUGUAGUCUUACAGAUCUUUGGUUUCCCUUUACUUCUACCUUCAAGCUCAGCAGGAGGAAGGUGACUCUGCUUUACAUCACAGAGGAGAUUCCUCCACUUUUCAUGCUGGCUCCUUCCUCUCAUCCACUGUACUCACUGCUGCCUCUGAACACCUGGGGACCACACUGCAGCACAGUUUUACUCCCUUAUGUCUGAGAGGCUGAAACAGAUACUUCGUGCAGUGGCUUAUGGUAACUGUACUCUCAAUUUUUAUUCACUGUUGUAGAAGGAUGUCUACAAAUUAAUGUGAACUGAGGAUCUUUGGUCCUGGAUCUAGGCUCAAUGGAUCAAACAUGGUCUUUCACUAAACUUUCACUAAAACUGGAGUAAUUAAAGAGCAUAGGCUUCGAGAAAAGAUUUGAAACUCAAUCCAUACUGUAAAAUGGAUUGGUCUCCACUGUCUGUUUGGUGUUCUACUGUGUCAAAAAUUCAAAUUUAAAUGAUACUCUAACAUAUAGUACUAAAAACUGAUCUGAGUAAACUUGUCUAGCCCAGAAACUUUAACAGUUUUCUGGGCUUUUCUCUUUGGACAUACAGCCCUGAAGGAGAAGGCGGCACAAAAGAAUGAGCAACUGAGGAUAUAAUUUAAGGAACAUGGCUUCUGUUUUGUUCUUAAUCAAUGAAAACCACUUUUGGUGGUGGCACGUCAUCCUGUCUUCCAAAGAACUGCAGAAAAGCACCCACUCUUCCCCAAAAGAUCAGGCUCUGUCCAUGCAUGGCUGCCGUGCCACACUUCAGUGCCACCUCAAAAUGAGUGUCAUGACUUUUUUUGAGCAGUAUGAGAACACAAAGCCAGACUAAAGAAAUACCCCAAAUAUCUUCCCCACACACCGCCACAAAAAAAAAAAGAGAGAGAGAAAGAGGAAAAUAAUGUUGAGGGUUGCUGAGUGUAGUGGGGGUUGCUCCUGAGCUUGGAUAGGAGUUGCACCCAUUGAAUUUAUGAAGACAGAUGGGGACCGCUUGGCGAUCACAAAGCUGGGAGAGAUGGGGAUCCAGCCAGCUGGUGCCCACUCCCUGCCGCUUCCUGCCACCUAGUGGUCAGUGUUCUGCCAGUCUUCUGCUCAGCAGUUUGUGGCAUUAGAAAGGAUGGUCAGAAGAGAGGCAGGAUGCUGUGUGCUCUGGGGGAAAAAUGGGCGAAGCACUACAAGCACUCUGCCCUCUCCUAGCCAAGCGACCCCAGCGGUCCUGCCCUUUUGAGUGAGACUUUACCCUCACCUAACUAUGUGGUGAUAACUAUUAGUCUAAGAUGGUGAACUUGGAUGCUGUUGCAUAUUAUAUGAGGAAAUCUGACUCACAAAUGCAGGUAAGUGGGUUGGCCUAACACUUCAGUCUCCUAUUUACCCAUUCACUGGAGCUGAAUAAGUUGUUCUUUGUCUACACUUGUGGUACGCUGAAUGGGUUUCAAGUGUAUUAUUUUUUGUUUUCCUGGGAGGGCUUUGAUCUGCAUUCAGCCGUUGACACUCAGUGCUGCCUAUUCACUGUAUACAGAAAGCAAUCCAGCCCAGUUUCAGUCUCCAGGGUGUUGUUUUUGCAAGCCAUUUCAGAUUAUCAGGGUUUUUAAUGCUGUAAGAAGGGCUCCCAGAAGAAAUAAAGUGCUUAGACACACUAAUCCAAAAGUUCCACCCAUGCAGAAAAUGAAAGACAAUUGUGUUCUUUAUGAGCCAGGUACUUUCCACCUUACCCUUCAUAGUAAUGAGAUAAAGCAAAAACAGGAGAUGGACGUGUCUUGUUAAUUUGUAUUGUCUUCUGCUCCUCCAGCUCUCCACUCCCAGCAAAAUCAGCACAUCUAGCAGCAGAGGCAUGGAAAGGCAGGUGGUUUCCCCUGCUCACUUCAAGGUGGCAUCUGGCACCUCCCUGGGGACGGGACAUCUGCCUGUGAAGAGUCAGCAUGCAGGUGUUCAAGGCACAGGUGUUUACUGCACCUGCCAGGAGGUGGAGAGGUCAUGGACUGUUGUGGCCAGAACAAGGACCUCUUGCCCAUAGCAGCUCAGGAUUGUCACAACUCCUGCCAAAAUAAACACAUAUUCAUUGCAAAUGGGCUUUUCUCUGUGUAAAGGAUUUUCUCAGCCCGUACCUCCACUGAGGUUAUGGCUUUAAAAUUGAUUUUAUAUACUAUAGUCAAAGCUCGCUAACGUAAUACCUGUUUUCUGGAGCAAGAAUGCUGUUUCUAAAUCUAUGAAUUCACAGUCUUUUAUCUAGCAUGGAUGAAAUAAAUAAGGAAUUACUUGAGAGAUGUUCGCAGACCCAGAGAGAUAGGUUCUUAAAAGGUAGCAACUUCGGGUUUUCAGGCAUUGUGCCUGAAGAACAUCAUCAAACAAUCUGAGAGCGCAGAGAACAGAAGCACGCUUGUUGGUGGGUCUGAGGGUGGGCUGAAAGAUCUGGGGUCACUUAGUCUAGAGUGAGAUGUAAUGUCUUCAAAUGCAUACCUGUAGAGAGGAUAGCAGUAAAUGUCCUCUGCGCCAGCUUGAAAUACAGUAAGAGGCUUUAAGUUCUUGGCUAAAUGAUAGGAAAAGUCUCUAUUUGUUGUCAUGAUAAGAUGCUGAAUAGAUGAACUUGAGUGACAAAGGAAUGUCCAUCACCAAAAGUCUUGAAAAACAAGUUAGAGAAAGCAUUGCUUGCAGUGUCCUCAGUAUUGGGUCACGUGUUCUUUCCUAUGCUUUUUUCUCUUUUCUUUUACUCUAUAAAAUAAGUGAUUUCCUUAAUUUUACAGAUGGAGAUUUAAAGAUGUAGUGUUAAAAAGCACCCAGCCCUGAGCAUCCUCAUGUGCUUCUAAAGCUGACUCCAGCCGGAGUGCUGGCCAGAGGGCCCCUUGCCACUGAGAUAUGAGAUCCUAAGCAUAGGCCUCAGUGACUUUCUCAGGAAUAGAUGUAUCAUACUUAGUGUAAGAGCCAGGAAUGUGUGUGUAUGGCUUUCAGGAAGGCAGUUUUGUUUCACUAUUGGAACUGAUAGCCAGAAAUAGUCUAAUUUCCAAGCAAUUAAUGCCCACAUUUCCUAGAUAUGAAAUGAGUUCAUUUUUGUGCACGUUGGGCUAUGUGUUACGACAGUUACUUCAAGAAUGAGCUAUGUUUCUUCUCUUUUUUACUAGGGAAGAAGUUCCCAGAGCUUUCUGUGCUGGUGAAAGAGGCAGCUGUGCUAAUUCUGAUACCGAGUAUUCUCUUACAAACUGAGAUGCUGCAAAACUCCUCAGAAGAGCAGAAAAGGAAGACUUACACCUCUGUCUGACACAGUUAAAAUCUCUCCCUGUGCACUUAUCAGCUUGCAUAUCUCUGUGAAACUCUGUGCUUCAGCGAGGGCUACAUCACUAGGCAACUACUGCAAAGAAACAUGAGUUCUACAGGAUUUCAGGGAAGAAUUCUUCCUCUACUUUUGUUCACUUCUGAGUUUGUUUCUUGGCACCCUCUUCCUUAAUGUGAGGUCAGCCAGAGUACUUUCACAGUUUUUCCUGUCUGUUUUGUCGUUUGUUUCUGUUUCGCAGGCUUACAGCUCCGAAGUCUUUCCAAGAGAGAAGAGAAACCAAACUGGAAGAUGAGAGCAUUGCACAGGCACCAAAUGCUGUUUCUGUUCAACCUUUGUUUCAUCGAGAAAACACCAAGAGACAGGAUAGAAGCAUGAAGGUGGUAAUUAACCACAUAGCUGAUUUUGGACUGUUACCAUGCUACCAGAAAAACAUGCUGGGAGAAGCCAUCAUCCACCGUGAAUGAGUUUUCUUGUAUAUGGAAUCCACUUGUUUAUGAGACUCACUUUAAACAAUAACAGAAUCACAAAAUCACAGAGUUGUAGGAGUUGGAAAGGACCUCUAGAAAUCAUCGAGUCCAACCUCUUCUGCUAAAGGAGUUCCCUGCAGCAGGUCACACAGGAAAGUGUCCAGGUCGGUUUUGAAUAUCUCCAGAGAAGGAGACUCCACAACAUCUCUGGGCAGCCUGCUCCAAUGCUCUGCCACCCUCACAAUAAAGAAGUUCUUCCUCAUGUACGUAUGGAACUUCCUGUGUUCCAGUUUGUGCCUAUUUCUGUUGUCCUGUCACUGGGCUCUGCUGAAGGAGACUGGCCACAUCCACUUGACUCCUGCCCUUUAGAUAUUUAUCAACAGUGAUGAGAUCCCUCUCAGUCUUCUCCAGACGGAAUAGUCUCUCAGCCUUUCUUCAUAAGGGAGAUGCUCCAGGCCCCUAAUACUCUUUCUGGCCUUCCACUGGACUCUCUCAAGAAGAUCCCUGUCUUUCUUGAGUGAGGAGCCCAGAACUGGAUGCAGUACUCCAGAUGUGGCCUCACUGGGGCAAAGUAGCUGGGGAGGACCUCCUCCCUCAACCUGUUGUCCACACUUUUCAAUGAACCCCAACUUUUAGAGUCCAACUGGUCCCAGUAUUGUUCUGCCAAUGAGGAAAAGCUCCAGAGUGAAAAUGUUGGACUCUGAUUAUGCUUUGCUGUCAUUCAGCAGCACUCAUCCUUCCACCUCUGUCUUGAACAACUGUGUGACUGGUCUUUCCUCGCAGUAAUGAAUUAAACAGUGUAUAACCAAGUAGUUAUCAAUACAGAUUUUGUUCUCAGAGUUUCUUUGAACUUUAGUUUCAACUAGACAAUCCCUGGCACCAAAUCCAAGAAAAGAAAAACAUGAGGAAAAUAGUGAUGUAUGGGGAUUGGUUAUAUAUUCAUAAAGCCACUAAUCACAGUUUCUUUUCUCUCUCAUUUUUGCUAGGCUUUCUUUGUCUAUUUUCAGGUCUUAUCUCUAUAUGAACACUGAUAGCAGAUAAAUCAAGACAACAGCUUCCUUCAUUUUUAGGAGUUUUGUUAAAAUUGACUUUCUCCCUCUGACAUGAAUAUCAGUUUAUAUCUCAAUCAAAUCUGGAAUUGUAGUUUAGAGAGAAAAUACAUAAAAUAUGCGUAGAAGAUUUUCCUAUGUCAUCCCUCUCACAGACACUUUCUGUUACUUUUAGAUUUAUUUCAGAUUAUUGUUUACUUCGCAAUCAUUAAUAAUUUACAGAAGUAAAGGCUUUUGUUUGUUAGUGAUUUGUCAUAACUGGAAUAAUGAAAAUAAUUAUAUAUAUCUCCAGUUCUUCAGUUUUGUAAAGUUCUGCUAAACUCAAGUGUUCAAGCUGUAAUAUAUCUCUUCUACUUUGGGUCUUACCAUUGAAUGACCUGACCUUUUAAUAAAGAUUUUUGUUUCCUAUGGUGCUUGAUUUCUUUGGCUAAGUAAUAAAAAGUAUGUGACACUUAAGAGCUUCCUACUUCCCUACUCUCUCUUAUAGUAGAGUGCUUAUGUAAUGAAGAGUGAUUGCUUGCAAGUCCAGAGAAAGAAAUCCUAAGCAUAUCUGUAUCUUCCAGUUGAUGGGUAUUAAAAAAAAAAAAAAAAAAAAUAACCAAACUGCCUGUCAGCCUUGGGAAGAUAAAGAGGACAGAGCAGUGUGAAUGAAUUCAUCAGCAACAAAUGACAGCAAACUUGUCUGAUUUCCCUCUGUGACCAAGUAACAGACAUUAUGAAGAGUCAAGCAGCCGUAUCUAUCUGUCUGUCUGUGGUAUAUCUUGACUUCUGUGGUAUUUUUGAGGCUGCCUUUGACAAUUGUUACCUAGAUGUAUUUUGAUAACAUGCUAUAGUUGAAUGCACAGUAGUUGCAAAAUUCUAAAUAAUUAGACCAGAACAAAGUAAAAAUGAAAGGCUGUGCUAUUGGAGGUUAUAUAUUGAAUUGUUCCAAGUCGGGUUUUGAAUUUUUUUUUUUAACUAAUGACUCAGUUGAAGGAAAAGAAAAUAUCUAUUAAAUUUACAGACAUUAGAAAGCUGGCAGAAGUUAUAUAGGCACUAAAGGACAGGUUUUGACUUCUGUAUGAUCUUGAUAAAUUAGGUGUUUUAUAGAAAGACAGGUGAUAGUUCAAGAAGACAAGUGCUAAAUACUAAACUUUUAUAGCAAAGUGAUUGGUAAUGCAAAGACUGAAUAAGAACAACAGCAGUAUAAUUAAUCCCCUUGACAUCAGAUGAAGAUUAGUUGCAUAGGUUGUUGGAAGGGAAAAUGUCUUAUCACUGUUACUGCUUGUUCUAAAAAAAUGAUUGUUUUGCACUGGUCAUUGUAACAUAGAGUAACACUCAGCAGCAGACCCUCUCAGAGAGAACUGGGUUCUACUGUCUGCGCAGAAAGGCUGAGGUUACCUUAACUGGAGACUGGAAUCACUUAUGCAUGUUCUUGUGUUGAUAUCACAAGAAAUUUCCCUCCUUAUGAUUUCUUGCACUGCCACCGGUUAAGUUGUAAGGAGCUAAUUCUACUGCUGUCAAAGGAUUUCCU